CGCCUUUUAUAAGUUUUUUGGAAGAGAAACGAUUCAAAUCAGCAUUAAUGAUUGACAAGUGAGUGAGACACGUGUCUCUCUAGGAUUACAUAGUGGAGCGGUAGUAAUUAAUGCCUAAUCCCAUGAUCUCCUAGAGUCUAGGAAACAUGAUGAUUAAAAAGAUUUGGGUAUGGGUUGAAAAGAUAUGUUAGGAAAAGGGUAAUGAUGGUGCUAACAUCACAAGCAAGCUAGAAGAAACUAAACGGAUUUGUAACGUUGGGGCAUUGGUAACAUGUAAC
Molecule: long non-coding RNA, 278 nt
Filed under: Lathyrus oleraceus (garden pea)
Lineage: Eukaryota; Viridiplantae; Streptophyta; Magnoliopsida; Fabales; Fabaceae
Description: Pisum sativum (pea) long non-coding RNA (PSAT_LNC029265)
Source: RNAcentral